GGUAGCAUAAUCGUUAGUUUUUUAAUUGGAAUCUUGUAUGAAUGGUUGGACAAAAGAGAAUCUGUCUUUAUAUUGUUCGUUGAAUUUAACUUUUAAGUGAAAAGGCUUAAAUAUAUUGGAGGGACGAUAAGACCCUAGAAAGCUUAAUAUUAAGAUUUUAUUUAGUUAAAUUUUACAUAGAUAAAAACUUAGUAACUGAAUUUAUUUUAUUGGGGCGAUAAGAGUAAAAUGAUUAUUAACUGCUUAGUUUUAAAUACAUCAUAGAUGAUUAAAUUUUUAAAUGAUCCUAGUUGAAGAUUAAAAGUUUAAGUUACUUUAGGGAUAACAGCGUUAUUUUUUUUGAGAGUACUUAUCGAAAAAAAAGUUUGCGACCUCGAUGUUGAAUUAAAAUGUCUUUAUAAUUGUAGCAGUUAUAAAAGUAGGUCUGUUCGACCUUUAAAAUUUUACAUGAUUUGAGUUCAAACCGGCGUGAG
RNAcentral lists this ribosomal RNA (473 nucleotides) under Cyclograpsus cinereus. Its description in RNAcentral is "partial 16S ribosomal RNA". The stretch from base 321 to 473 matches the Rfam family "Bacterial large subunit ribosomal RNA", at positions 2473 to 2625 of the family's 2925-position model. Lineage: Eukaryota; Metazoa; Arthropoda; Malacostraca; Decapoda; Varunidae. The record is from RNAcentral.